GAUGAACGCUGGCGGCGUGCCUAAUACAUGCAAGUCGAGCGAACAGACGAGGAGCUUGUUCCUCUGACGUUAGCGGCGGACGGGUGAGUAACACGUGGAUAACCUACCUAUAAGACUGGGAUAACUUCGGGAAACCGGAGCUAAUACCGGAUAACAUGUUGAACCGCAUGGUUCAACAGUGAAAGACGGUCUUGCUGUCACUUAUAAAUGGAUCCGCGCCGCAUUAGCUAGUUGGUAAGGUAACGGCUUACCAAGGCAACGAUGCGUAGCCGACCUGAGAGGGUGAUCGGCCACACUGGAACUGAGACACGGUCCAGACUCCUACGGGAGGCAGCAGUAGGGAAUCUUCCGCAAUGGGCGAAAUCCUGACGGAGCAACGCCGCGUGAGUGAAGAAGGUCUUCGGAUCGUAAAACUCUGUUAUUAGGGAAGAACAAAUGUGUAAGUAACUAUGCACGUCUUGACGGUACCUAAUCAGAAAGCCACGGCUAACUACGUG
RNAcentral lists this ribosomal RNA (497 nucleotides) under uncultured bacterium. RNAcentral's name for it is "partial 16S ribosomal RNA". It matches the Rfam family "Bacterial small subunit ribosomal RNA", at positions 28 to 507 of the family's 1533-position model. The record is from RNAcentral.